GCCAGGCAUGGUGGCACACGCCUGUAAUCCCAGCACCUUGGGAGGCUGAGGCAGGAGGAUGGGGUCUGAGGCCAGCCUAAGCAACUUAGUGAGACCCUGGCUCAA
This 105-nucleotide small RNA is filed under the name Marmota monax (woodchuck). The record is from RNAcentral. Lineage: Eukaryota; Metazoa; Chordata; Mammalia; Rodentia; Sciuridae.